This 446-nucleotide ribosomal RNA is filed under the name uncultured bacterium. RNAcentral's name for it is "partial 16S ribosomal RNA". It matches the Rfam family "Bacterial small subunit ribosomal RNA", at positions 338 to 795 of the family's 1533-position model. The record is from RNAcentral.
CCUACGGGGGGCAGCAGUCGAGAAUCAUUCACAAUGGGGGAAACCCUGAUGGUGCGACGCCGCGUGGGGGAAUGAAGGUCUUCGGAUUGUAAACCCCUGUCAUGUGGGAGCAAAUUAAAAAGAUAGUACCACAAGAGGAAGAGACGGCUAACUCUGUGCCAGCAGCCGCGGUAAUACAGAGGUCUCAAGCGUUGUUCGGAAUCACUGGGCGUAAAGCGUGCGUAGGCUGUUUCGUAAGUCGUGUGUGAAAGGCGCGGGCUCAACCCGCGGACGGCACAUGAUACUGCGAGACUAGAGUGAUGGAGGGGGAACCGGAAUUCUCGGUGUAGCAGUGAAAUGCGUAGAUAUCGAGAGGAACACUCGUGGCGAAGGCGGGUUCCUGGACAUUAACUGACGCUGAGGCACGAAGGCCAGGGGAGCGAAAGGGAUUAGAUACCCGUGUAGUC